AUACCUGAGAUAAACAAUUUAAAAGGGAAGAAGUUUAUUUUGGGCUCACAGUUUCAGAUGCUUCAGUCCAUAGUCAAUGGACUCUGUUGUGUUCAGGGCUGUGGCCAGACAGGAACAUCAUGGCGGAAGGGUGUGGCUGUCCCAAAACGGUUCGAAGGAGAGAUCUAUAGGUGAAGACACCAGGGACAAGACACUGUCUCCAAGAUCAGCACCCGUGACCCACUCACUUCCUUGAGCGGGCCUCACACACAACAUUCCAUUACCUCUUGAGUAAUGCCAUCAGAUUAUGAUCUCACUGAAUCAUGAAGCUGGAUCCCUCAUGAUCCAUUCACUCCCCAAAGCCCCUGAGCAACCAAGCCUUCAGCACAGUUCACAUCAUUGGCCAUUGCCUCUUAGGUUACCCUCUGUGACUAACUUCUCCUUCCGGGAUGCUGGGGUCUCCACGCCGUGAUGCUGUGUGCAGUGCUAUUGUCCAGUGGAUCCCACUCCUGGGGUUCAGUGUGGUACCUGGGUGUGCUGGGGACUUUGAACCAGAAGGAACCGGAAGGCCACAGGAGAGAGGCGUGGAAGCUGGGGUUUCUCUCCCCAAGGUCUCCGGGACCGUCUCGUUCCCGGCAGCUCCCCUUGCUGUCCUCCUGCUGCUGGACACUCAUGUGUGACCUCAUACGGCUGAGCGGGCUGAGCGUCUCUGUGAAGAUGGAAGGGAAGAGACAGGAGGAGGGAAGGCAGACAAGAGGGGGCCACACAGCUUCUCCGGGUCGAGGGCCACAUUUGGCAAGUGGAUCUUUCUUCAGCUGCUGCCACCACUGUCCUGGCCUUGUCUGGGUGAUCCAGAUGUAGGCAUGGCCUCGUUCUGGGCUCUGUGAGAGCCUCUUACACCCACCUCUUCUGUUAGUGCCAGGCUCACCCUGUGCCUGGGGGCACUAAGGACACAACCUGGAGACAAAGCCCCAGGGUCCUCACCCUACCUGCUGCUGUGAGGUGCUUGGGGGCUGCAGGGCUGUUCCCCACACAGAGGUUUUUAUAGGUGCAUUUCCUGGAGAGAUGGAUGCUGUGUGGGCCUGGGUGCUUCCCUAGGACUGGCUGCACCAAAUGCUUUUUGUUGUCAUUCAACAACAUUUGAAUGUAAUGAGGGCCCAGGACUUUCUCUCUGAAGAGAUUCCUGAGAAGCUUCUGGUGCGUGCCGCAGCUGUGAAUCGAUACGCCCUCUCUCUCCGUUUGUAGGAACGUGUGAGUGCGAUCGAUUCGCGCCAUCCAUUUGUCUGAGUUUGAGUAGGUGUCUCCCUAUUUGCUCGGCUUUCUAGGCGGCGUUAGGCAACCCUCGAGGUAUCAUUCAUUUAAAAUUCUCCUUUCCUUCUGUCUCUAUCACACUUAUCACCCGUUCUCUCGAACUGCACU
This 1398-nucleotide long non-coding RNA is filed under the name Fukomys damarensis (Damara mole-rat). Its description in RNAcentral is "lncRNA (ENSFDAG00000021736.1)". The record is from RNAcentral. Lineage: Eukaryota; Metazoa; Chordata; Mammalia; Rodentia; Bathyergidae.